This 301-nucleotide ribosomal RNA is filed under the name uncultured bacterium. RNAcentral describes it as "partial 16S ribosomal RNA". It matches the Rfam family "Bacterial small subunit ribosomal RNA", at positions 509 to 809 of the family's 1533-position model. The record is from RNAcentral.
CAGUAGCCGCGGUAAUACGUAGGGUGCGAGCGUUAAUCGGAAUUACUGGGCGUAAAGCGUGCGCAGGCGGUUGUGUAAGACAGGUGUGAAAUCCCCGGGCUUAACCUGGGAACUGCGCUUGUGACUGCACAGCUAGAGUAUGGCAGAGGGGGGUGGAAUUCCACGUGUAGCAGUGAAAUGCGUAGAGAUGUGGAGGAACACCGAUGGCGAAGGCAGCCCCCUGGGCCAAUACUGACGCUCAUGCACGAAAGCGUGGGGAGCAAACAGGAUUAGAUACUCCAGUAGUCCCUGUCUCUUAUAA